This 778-nucleotide ribosomal RNA is filed under the name Chromohalobacter canadensis. RNAcentral's name for it is "bacterial SSU rRNA". It matches the Rfam family "Bacterial small subunit ribosomal RNA", at positions 68 to 840 of the family's 1533-position model. The record is from RNAcentral. Lineage: Bacteria; Pseudomonadati; Pseudomonadota; Gammaproteobacteria; Oceanospirillales; Halomonadaceae.
GAACGAUCCUAGCUUGCUAGGAGGCGUCGAGCGGCGGACGGGUGAGUAAUGCAUAGGAAUCUACCCAGUCGUGGGGGAUAACCUGAGGAAACUCAGGCUAAUACCGCAUACGUCCUACGGGAGAAAGCGGGGGCUCUUCGGACCUCGUGCGAUUGGAUGAGCCUAUGUCGGAUUAGCUAGUUGGUAAGGUAACGGCUUACCAAGGCGACGAUCCGUAGCUGGUCUGAGAGGAUGAUCAGCCACACCGGGACUGAGACACGGCCCGGACUCCUACGGGAGGCAGCAGUGGGGAAUAUUGGACAAUGGGCGAAAGCCUGAUCCAGCCAUGCCGCGUGUGUGAAGAAGGCUUUCGGGUUGUAAAGCACUUUCAGCGAGGAAGAAAGCGUGCCGUUUAAUACACGGUACGGACGACAUCACUCGCAGAAGAAGCACCGGCUAACUCCGUGCCAGCAGCCGCGGUAAUACGGAGGGUGCAAGCGUUAAUCGGAAUUACUGGGCGUAAAGCGCGCGUAGGCGGCGUGUCACGCCGGGUGUGAAAGCCCCGGGCUCAACCUGGGAACGGCAUCCGGAACGGGCAGGCUAGAGUGCAGGAGAGGAAGGUAGAAUUCCCGGUGUAGCGGUGAAAUGCGUAGAGAUCGGGAGGAAUACCAGUGGCGAAGGCGGCCUUCUGGACUGACACUGACGCUGAGGUGCGAAAGCGUGGGUAGCAAACAGGAUUAGAUACCCUGGUAGUCCACGCCGUAACGAUGUCGACUAGCCGUUGGGUCCCUUGAGGACU